Molecule: long non-coding RNA, 1067 nt
Organism: Capra hircus (goat)
Lineage: Eukaryota; Metazoa; Chordata; Mammalia; Artiodactyla; Bovidae
Exons: 2
Source: RefSeq, a predicted model, not a curated record
GGCUCUCAGCCAUGGCUUUGACACCAACAAUCUGUUUUAACCUGCUCGUAUUGGACCUUUCUCACUUUCCAGACCCCUUAACACAAACCCGGCUAGCAAAUGCACUGAAGAGCCUCCUUCAAAAUAUAGCUUGACUCUGAUUCGUGGCAAAAAAAAAAAAAAAAAGCUGGAAUAAUCCUGCCAGGUCUUAGAAGCUUUACGAUUAAUUGCAUUGAACUUGAUACACAGAAAACAGCACCUUGAAAAUGAAUCAUUUGCUACUUCAGUAUUUUCUAAUUACCAUCACUCCCUCUCGGGGCAUGUAAUUAAUUUACGGAGUCUAAAAAAAAAAACAGUCAGGAUUACUCACACAGUCUUGAAGAUGCAAUGUCAGCUAUUUAGGACAGAAACAUCCAAGGCCGUGUUAGAACUCAAUUACGACUACAUAUGCGUUAAAGCAGGAACUGGCAGGCCUCUGGACUACAGCAACUAUAGGACUUGGGCUUCUCGUACGCUGGGCUAUAAUUUAUGAAACUGAGCCCCAGAUCCAGCCAAUCACUUAGCUCCUCAUAACAAGUCUGACUGGCUCUGGAAAGCUGAAAGGGCUGCACUAGAACAACAAAGAUGAGAUAUUCCACAUAACACUCAGCUUAUCUGGAAUCACUUUCCCUUGCAAGGCCAGAAAAAAAAUCAUAGCUUUACUGCCCAAGGGAAGCACAACAAAGGACUGGGAAAUGCGACUUCACCUGGAGCAAGAUCUGUUACGCUUCGGCAAGACCAACCUCGCCGGCCUUAAAGGACCCAGGUACCCCUGGGACACAGAGGGCAACCACAGCAGCAAAAACCCAAAGUGCUGCUGCUCAUGAGACUGUGUGAGAACUGAAACUUCUGAGGGAAGCCAGGUUGUUAAAACUGUGAUUCCCUUUACUCAACAAUAACAAGGAUGAUCUAGUCUGAAAGGGAAAGCACGCCCUUAAGGUAAUGUUGGCAUUGAAUCUUCACGCCCAGAAUUUUGUCAUUAAAUCCUCAACACCCAGAGUUCCCUGUUUCUCAUUCCCCAAAUAAAAUUAUGUUAUGAUCUCUUCAAA